UUUGGGAGAAAAUUAGUAAAUCUUAGACUGCCUGGUAAUACACAGUGAUGUUCUGCCACGGAUGGCAGAACAAGGCAGCAUCGAGUCAUGGAGGACUCGUUGUUGCCGUUCACGUCAUUCUGAGAAAACCUGACUCAGGCAGGCUUAGAUUUUCUUAUUUUCGUACAAU
Roseburia intestinalis XB6B4 is the source of this 169-nucleotide non-coding RNA. The record is from Rfam. NCBI's taxonomy places the organism in Bacteria, Bacillati, Bacillota, Clostridia, Lachnospirales, Lachnospiraceae.